ACAACAUUUAAUUGGGCCUAGCUUACAGGUUCAGAAGUUCAGAACAUUAUCAUAACGGCAUCAUAAUGGCAGGAAGCAUGGCAGAGUCUAGACAGACAUGGUUCUGAAGAAGAAGCCAAGAGUUCUACAUUUUGAUCAGAAGACAGUCAGGAAAAGACUCUCUUCCAGGCAGCUAGGAGGAGGGUCUCAAAGCCCACCCCCACAUUAACACAUUUCCUCUAACAAGGCCACAGCCACUCCAAAACCGGCCACAUCUCCUAAGAGUACCACUCCCUGGUCCAAAAAUAUUCAAACCACCACCUCUUCUAGCAUCUGUUGCUCUGAACUGCCUCAGAUUUUGAAGUCUGUCUUGAAGAAAGACUUUCAGGGAAAACUCUCGGGUUAGAACUGGAUGAGGAGGGAGCAUCUGAAGGGCACCAAUCCAUAGAGCAAAGGAACUGGCUCAAAAGAGGAUGGAGAGAGCACUGUGAACCUGCCCUGGAAGCACUGCCUCCUAGGGCUGGAGAUCCUCCUCCCCAGGUUCCGAGAAGAUGGAAUGACGCACACAGACCGCUUAUCCAGCACUCGGCGCACACUAAGAAAAAACAUCUAGAAGUUGAUGAUGAUUUCCCAAGAUUACAAAAGCUAAUCUUUUAGUUAUUAGACACAAGGGACACACCCAUGGUUCUCUUACAGACUUUUUCUUGUUUCUACUCUGUGUCCAAGGUCCCCUCGGUAAGGCUGUGAUAGCAUUCCUCUAAAAAGUCUCAUUAGGGGCGCCCUGAGUGCCUGAAAUGGAAGCUACAUUCUUCCAGAGCCUCUCACACAUGUUGAAGCUUCCGAUUGGUCUUGUUUGAAAUGAAUUUGCAGACACUGCCUUUACUCCAUACUAAGCAUAGGAGAGAAAAAUGGCCAGUGUCUCUGGGGAAUAAUUAACAAAAGACAGUUUGUUUCAUCUUCAUGAUAAAAUACAGCAUCCCUACUAAAAGGCAAAUUCAUCAUUCCCCAAAGUUAAAUAGAAUGGCACUUUAAAAGUAAUUCCAGCUGAUUAAAUUUAGGAUUCCGGAAAAAAAUUAAUUCAUGAAUAUACUCUGAAUCUUUCAUUUGAUUUUAAAAUGUAUAAAUGUUCAUUUAACUUUGAGCCCUUGCCUCUCAGUGUUCUAUUCUGAGCUAGUCAAACAAGUGGAAGCAGGCCUGCUGGGCUCAAUAAUACUGCCUCUCGUAUUUAAAUACUCUCUUUCACUUGGAUUGCAAAUUAAAGACAGUCUCCUGAACACUGACAUAUUUCCAAUGCCUGACUUCACAACUCGUGUUGAUUUUCCUCCACUGUUUUGCCUCUGUGUGUGUCAACUUUGGCCUCCUUUUCUUGCUCCCCUAAGGCACUGCUGUCUCUUUGAAGCCUUUGUCAGCUUGAUAUGGAAAAAAAAAAAAGUACAUUAAACCUCGUGACUAAUUAUACAGUUAGAAAA
Molecule: long non-coding RNA, 1448 nt
Organism: Rattus norvegicus (Norway rat)
Lineage: Eukaryota; Metazoa; Chordata; Mammalia; Rodentia; Muridae
Source: RefSeq, a predicted model, not a curated record